UACAGAGGGUGCAAGCGUUAAUCGGAGUUACUGGGCGUAAAGCGCGCGUAGGCGGUUACUCAAGUCGGAUGUGAAAGCCCUCGGCUUAACUGAGGAAGUGCACCCGAAACUGAGUAGCUAGAGUACUAAAGAGGGUCGCGGAAUUCCCGGUGUAGAGGUGAAAUUCGUAGAUAUCGGGAGGAACACCGGUGGCGAAGGCGGCGACCUGGGUAGAUACUGACGCUCAGGCGCGACAGCGUGGGGAGCAAACAGG
RNAcentral lists this ribosomal RNA (253 nucleotides) under uncultured bacterium. RNAcentral's name for it is "partial 16S ribosomal RNA". It matches the Rfam family "Bacterial small subunit ribosomal RNA", at positions 524 to 776 of the family's 1533-position model. The record is from RNAcentral.